UACGUAGGGUCUGAGCGUUGUCCGGAAUUAUUGGGCGUAAAGGGCUCGUAGGCGGUUUGUCGCGUCGGGAGUGAAAACUCAGGGCUCAACCCUGAGCGUGCUUCCGAUACGGGCAGACUAGAGGUAUGCAGGGGAGAACGGAAUUCCUGGUGUAGCGGUGGAAUGCGCAGAUAUCAGGAGGAACACCGGUGGCGAAGGCGGGUCUCUGGGCAGUAACUGACGCUGAGGAGCGAAAGCGUGGGGAGCGAACAGG
Molecule: ribosomal RNA, 253 nt
Filed under: uncultured bacterium
Lineage: Bacteria
Description: partial 16S ribosomal RNA
Rfam family: Bacterial small subunit ribosomal RNA
Source: RNAcentral